Molecule: long non-coding RNA, 765 nt
Organism: Lactuca sativa (garden lettuce)
Lineage: Eukaryota; Viridiplantae; Streptophyta; Magnoliopsida; Asterales; Asteraceae
Source: RefSeq, a predicted model, not a curated record
GGUUUCAAACAUAGACAUCACCGUCGCCAUGUCUGAACAGGAAAAACGAAGAAGUAGGUCAAUUAGUAAAAUCAACUUCUCAUCCCUCUAAUCCCUUCUGAAAGGUUAACUAGGUUUUUUUUUUUGGAAAAUGGGUUUUGUUUGGGGUUUUUGGGACAGUUUCCAAGUUUGUUUUGUUGGUGAAAACGAAUGGAUCCUAAUAUGAAGGACUAGAAACGUUGGAUUUUUCAACAAGUUUACUUGGGAAUUCUGUUUCUUUACAAUAGGAGGUGCUUCACAGUGGAAAAAAAUCACGAGUUGCUUUUUGGAGGUCUCAAACCGAAAUCUAAUAAUGAGACGGAGGGCAUUUCAAACUUAAAAGUCCAAGUUCUUGUGGUUAUUGCAAGCGUUGAGUUAAAGAAGAAAACAACAGUGCACACUACUGAAGUGGCUUCUAAUCUGGUUGAGAUCAUACAAAAUUCUAGAUUCAAGUUACAGACAGUCAAUUUGGGCUUUGAGGAUGACUAUGCAAAUUAAAAUUUCUAUCUCAUUUGUUUGUUUGGAAUCUUUUCCUCAAUUUUUUUGACAUUUCUUGCUGAUAACCAUGUUUAAUUUUUUUUAUUUGCAUUCAAUUGCGUUCCGGAGUAAUAUUUAGUUAUGGAAAUAUUUAGAGAUAUCCUACCUAUGUCAUUGAAUUAAAAACAGUACAGCGAAAAAAUUAAGGAAUGCUUUCCACCUGUAAUCAAUUUAUGGCUUCCAACCCCCGCAAAGCGGGGAUCCUUCUCU